Molecule: transfer RNA, 84 nt
Filed under: Araneus ventricosus
Lineage: Eukaryota; Metazoa; Arthropoda; Arachnida; Araneae; Araneidae
Rfam family: tRNA
About the family: Transfer RNA (tRNA) molecules are approximately 80 nucleotides in length. Their secondary structure includes four short double-helical elements and three loops (D, anti-codon, and T loops). Further hydrogen bonds mediate the characteristic L-shaped molecular structure. tRNAs have two regions of fundamental functional importance: the anti-codon, which is responsible for specific mRNA codon recognition, and the 3' end, to which the tRNAs corresponding amino acid is attached (by aminoacyl-tRNA synthetases). tRNAs cope with the degeneracy of the genetic code in two manners: having more than one tRNA (with a specific anti-codon) for a particular amino acid; and 'wobble' base-pairing, i.e. permitting non-standard base-pairing at the 3rd anti-codon position.
Source: Rfam by way of RNAcentral
GUCAGGAUGGCCGAGCGGUCUAAGGCGCUGCGUUCAGGUCGAAGUUCAAUCUUGUGGGAGUGGGUUCGAAUCCCACUUCUGACA